This 151-nucleotide microRNA precursor is filed under the name Oryza brachyantha (malo sina). RNAcentral's name for it is "MIR812 microRNA precursor family". It matches the Rfam family "MIR812 microRNA precursor family", at positions 27 to 188 of the family's 205-position model. The record is from Rfam by way of RNAcentral. Lineage: Eukaryota; Viridiplantae; Streptophyta; Magnoliopsida; Poales; Poaceae.
UAUAAUAUUUCACUCUUCAUCUUACUUAUUUUUUGGGAUUAAUAUUUUUAUUGUUAUUAGAUAAUAAAACACGAAUAGUAAUUUACGCGUCACUAAUUUUUUUUUGAGUUUUUUUAAAUAAGACGGAUGGUCAAAUGUUAGACACAGAACC